AACGAACGCUGGCGGCAGGCCUAACACAUGCAAGUCGAGCGCCCUUUCGGGGGAGCGGCGGACGGGUGAGUAACGCGUGGGAAUAUGCCCUUCUCUACGGAAUAGCCUCGGGAAACUGAGAGUAAUACCGUAUACGCCCUAUGGGGGAAAGAUUUAUCGGGGAAGGAUUAGCCCGCGUUGGAUUAGGUAGUUGGUGGGGUAAUGGCCUACCACGCCGACGAUCCAUAGCUGGUUUGAGAGGAUGAUCAGCCACACUGGGACUGAGACACGGCCCAGACUCCUACGGGAGGCAGCAGUGGGGAAUCUGAGACAAUGGGGGCAACCCUGAGCGAGCCAUGCCGAGUGAGUGAUGAAGGCCUUAGGGUUGUAAAGCUCUUUCAGCUGGGAAGAUAAUGACGGUACCAGCAGAAGAAGCCCCGGCUAACUCCGUG
Molecule: ribosomal RNA, 431 nt
Filed under: uncultured bacterium
Lineage: Bacteria
Description: partial 16S ribosomal RNA
Rfam family: Bacterial small subunit ribosomal RNA
Source: RNAcentral